Non-coding RNA from Taeniopygia guttata (zebra finch), 3377 nucleotides. NCBI's taxonomy places the organism in Eukaryota, Metazoa, Chordata, Aves, Passeriformes, Estrildidae. The record is from RefSeq and is a predicted model, not a curated record.
GCUGGGUGGGGUAGGGAAGCCAUGUGGCCUGGAAGAGGGAGGCCCAGGGGGUGAAGGGACUGGAACCAGGCCAGCCCCUGCAGAUGGAAGGGUGGAGAAAAUCUGAGAUGUCUUUGUUCCCCCCUGCCGCCCCCCAGAAGGAGAGAGAGUGAAAGAGACAGAGACUGUGCCGGCAGUAGGCCGCCAGAGGAGGAAGAGGAGGAGGGGAAGGUGCCCAGCCGUGGGAGUUGGUGUUCUGGGACGAGAUUUCAGCCGUCCUGGGAGUCUAAGACUUUUAACCCCUUCUUGGACAAUGAAAGCUUUGUGAAAUAUUACUCCUCCUUGGUCUGAAAGAGAAGAGAGACGGCCUGGGGCUCGAGAUGUCAGAAGAAGAUGGGGAAAGAUCCUAAGUGGGAGGAGAUGACGGAGUGGCUUUUGGCUGGACUUUUCUUGUAUAGCCAUAGACUGAACCAUUUUCUCCUGCAACAGAGACUGCAUUUUUAAGGGAAUGCAAUGGUUGGAGCCAAGAGAGUGACCUGCUGCAGUGACGAGGAGCGUGUGGUGGUACCCUCUAUCUUCAGGAAGAAGAAGAUCUCUGUUCUCGAGACUCUAGGCUCCAGGGGAGGAGAAAAUGGGGGGGACUGUUGUACCAAAAAUGAGAAACUGAACUUUGGUCCUUGGUAAAGCAUCCUUGAAAGGAAACCCUAUGAGCAGUUUUGGUCCAUGUACAGUGGUGAGAGCACUGUGACAUGGAAAGGAGGGUGUCACACUGGCAGAUUUUCUCCAGGCAGUGCCAUGUGUGACAUGGAAACACAAGAGGUGGCAAUUGUGCUCCCUGGGGGUCUAUGGUGCAAGAGAGACUCCUCUCUCCCCCAAUGAGCUGAGUAUUAUCUAAAGGGUGGUAACUUGAUUGAGGGUCCAAGUUUUGUCUCAGUGUGCUCUGUUGGAAAUUAGGUGGGGGGAGGAGGAAUGUUUUGGAAGGUUUUCAUUCUGGAUUCAGUGUGUGUCUUUUAUCAUAGUAGUAGCCUCUUAAGUUUUUUCCUUUGUUUUUAAGCUUGAGCCUACUCUGCUCUGGUCCUGAUCGCAUCUCACAGAACUCAUUUGGGGAGCGUUUAUUUUCAUGGGGACUCUGGCAUUGUGCCAGCGUCAAACCAUGACCUAUGGUUUUCUCACAGACCUGCAAAUCGCAGGUGACCAUUCUCACCUUCACUUACGGCAGUGAACUGAUGGACUGGAAAGAAAAGUUGAGGCUACGCGCUGCUGUUGGAGGUCCCAGUUGAGGCCUGACGCCUCUGGCGGGAGCGGUUGCUCCUGCGAGACCUCCCUGCUGGUGUCCCCGUGCGCCUGGGCCUCUCAGCACUUGCUGCUCUCCUCCUGCUCCUGUCCUGAGGACUCCUGGACCAGAGAGGUUGAUUCGAGGCCUGGCACUGCAGGUGGGAGCAGCUGCGUCUGGGGGAUAUCCCUGAUGGACUCUUCCUUUUCUUGGGCCUCUCAGUACUUGGUCUUGUCCUACUAAUGCCGUCACAGUGAUGCCUCAAUUGGAUUGGUUGAUUUGGGGCUGACCUUGCUGGUGGGCAUGGUUGUGUCCAGGGGAUGCCUGUGGAGGUGUCUCCCUUUGCCUGGGCCUCUCAGUCCUUGGACAUGUUCUGCCUUUCUUGUGAUGGCAAGUCCUCGAGGAAACAGGUCGACUUGGGCCCGACCUUGCUGGCGAGUGCGGCUUCGCCUGUGGCCCUGUCCAGCACGUCUGUAAUGGACCCUGUCCUCAGGGUCAGGGGAGCUACUGUACAUUAACCUUGGUGUGCUGGGUCUGCUGGUAUGCAGUGAGGAAGAGGGCAGAGACUGCUGCCAUGCUGGUGGCUGCUGCGGCUGCUGGUCACUGCAGAUGAAAACAGCCGUGUGGUCUAUCAGCCCCUGCUCCCGUUUCUGUCCCAUCAGCAAACUUGCUGAGAGAGCGCUCCGUCCCUUCUGUCAGGUCACUGAGGAAUAGGGCAAACAAGGCUGACACCAGCACGGCCCCCUGAGCUCACAGCUCUCUGAGUUUGGAGCUCCACUGCCCACUUCUCUACACCACUGUCCCUGAGCUACCCAAUGUCCGUGAUAUGGGAGGCCAGGACAAAGCCUUGCUGAAGUCCCGGCUGACAACAGCCACUGCUCUCCCCUCACAGACCCAGCCAGUCAGUGCAGCAGAGGUGGCUGUGAGAUUGGUCAAGCAUGGUUUUCUGUCGCUGUAGAGAUGGACAUGAGACAUACACAUACACCUGUGCAGAGACAACAAUGGCUUCUUCUUUAUUAUAAGUUGCCCUCAAGUUUUAUACCCCUAAGAAAAUGUGAUCUUAAGUCAUUAGUUACAUCAAACAAGCUCAGGAUAUUCAAUGGACAAAGCAAUAGCUUAUUGUAUUUUAUGGGUACAAAGCAUUUAAUGUCAAUAAUUCAUUGCAAGUGUGUAUACCACAAACUAUAAAGGCACGUAUGCUGCUCACUAAGGGACGUAUCCUCUAACUACAAGUAACACCGAUCUGUUUAUGUUCCCAUGCUAACGGCCUUGCUUUCUCCCUUGCCAUGGAUAAACUUGCAUUUUAUUUAUUUCUUCUUCUGCUAACUCAGUUGUUUGCCCUGAAGACAAUGUGUCAAGCCCAUCCACAGUUCUCCCUUUCUGUUAUUCCACAGGCUUAGAGAUGACAUCCAAGAGGAGCUAUUCUGUCACCUUUCUGGGGAUGGAGUGAGGCUAAUAGGCCUGGAGUUUCCUGGCUCCUUCUUGUUGCCCUUUUGGAAGACUGCAGAGAUGCUGGCUUUCCUCCACUGCUCACACCUCUCUCUGGGGCUAUCACCUUCCCUGACCUGCUGGAAGAGCGCUCCGAGCCAGAGGCAGGGGCAGAGAUUUCCCUUGGACCCAAAAGGGAAGGCUGGGCUCAGGCCGUGUGUCAGUGCGACCUGACAACGGGAGGAGAAGGCAGGGCAGGGACGCUGCUGCCCAGGGACCAGAGGAGCCCCACAGCUCGGGGCUCUGGGCCUGUGCUGCAGGCUCCCCUGCCUCUCCCUGCCCAGAAUCAGCGGAGGAACAGCCAGAGCAGACUGCGGUGUUCCUCGAGGCGAUGACGGGAGGAGAAGGAGGACAGGAGCAGGGCUCACGCAGGGCUCAGCAGGGAGUAGUGCCCUCGUGGCUCUGGGCCUGUUCUGUAAACUCCCCAUACUCUUCUUUCUCCCAGAAAGAGAGAGAGGACCAGCACCUGGAGGAGACUGUGACGUUUCUGGACAGGGACUCACUGCUGACGGCUGCCAUGUGCGACAGCAAGCAGGAGGGCCCUGGUGCCAGGGAGCCAGUGUGCAUGCUGUGUCGCCGUGCAGAGGCUGACCCCUGUGCUUCCCCAGGCCCUGCCAACAGCUCCUGUGCUGCUGCU